GUCGCGAAAGCGCCGAAGGCAGGAGCGGGGGACCCAGGUUUGUGCCGGUCCCGUCCGAAAGCCCGUGAGGGCGGUGGACGACCGGCUUGGGGUGAAGCCGUACGACGCAGGUCGUACGGCCGGGCAACUCACUGCGCCCGAACCCGACAGCUCACCUCGUAGGCGUCGGUGAGGAGAACC
RNAcentral lists this small RNA (180 nucleotides) under Streptomyces tsukubensis. RNAcentral describes it as "c-di-AMP sequence". It matches the Rfam family "c-di-AMP riboswitch aptamer (ydaO/yuaA leader)". Rfam says of the family: This family represents a conserved RNA structure found upstream of the ydaO and yuaA genes in Bacillus subtilis and related genes in other bacteria. Lineage: Bacteria; Bacillati; Actinomycetota; Actinomycetes; Kitasatosporales; Streptomycetaceae. The record is from RNAcentral.